Molecule: ribosomal RNA, 482 nt
Filed under: uncultured bacterium
Lineage: Bacteria
Description: partial 16S ribosomal RNA
Rfam family: Bacterial small subunit ribosomal RNA
Source: RNAcentral
AUUGAACGCUGCCGGCAUGAUUUACACAUGCAAGUCGAACGGUAACAGGCCGCAAGGUGCUGAGGAGGGGCGAACGGGUGAGUAAUGCAUCGGAACGUGCCCAGUCGUGGGGGAUAACUACACGAAAGAGUAGCUAAUACCGCAUACGAUCUAUGGACAAAAGCGGUGGACCGCAAGGCCUCGCGCGAUUGGAGCGGUCGAUGUCAGAUUAGGUAGCUGGGGGGGUAAUGGCUCACCAAGCCAACGAUCUGGAGCUGGUCUGAGAGGACGACCAGCCGCACUGGGGUUGAGACACGGCCCAGACUCCGGCGGGAGGCAGCAGUGGGGAAGUUUGGACGAUGGGCGCAAGCCUGAUACAGCAAUGCCGCGUGCAGGAAGAAGGCCUUGGUGUUGUAAACUGCUUUUGUGCGGAAAGAAACGGCUCUGGUUAAUACCCGGGGCUACUGACGGUACCGUAAGAAUAAGCACCGGCUAACUACGUG